Molecule: small nuclear RNA, 164 nt
Organism: Penaeus monodon (black tiger shrimp)
Lineage: Eukaryota; Metazoa; Arthropoda; Malacostraca; Decapoda; Penaeidae
Product: U1 spliceosomal RNA
Exons: 1
Source: RefSeq, a predicted model, not a curated record
AACUUUACCUGGCACAGGAGAUACGUAUCCACGAAGGGGCGGUUCUCCCAGGGCGAGGAUCACCAGUGCCAUCCGUGGCGCUGACCCCUGACGAUUAACCCAAAUGUGGUUAAUCGAAGUGCGCAAUUUGUUGAGUGGGGGACUGCCGUUCGCGCUAUCACCAU